UACAGAGGGUGCGAGCGUUAAUCGGAAUUACUGGGCGUAAAGCGUGCGCAGGCGGUUCGUUGUGUCUGUGGUGAAAGCCCCGGGCUUAACCUGGGAAUGGCCAUGGAAACUGGCGAGCUGGAGUGUGGCAGAGGGGGGUGGAAUUCCGCGUGUAGCAGUGAAAUGCGUAGAGAUGCGGAGGAACACCGAUGGCGAAGGCAGCCCCCUGGGUUGACACUGACGCUCAGGCACGAAAGCGUGGGGAGCAAACAGG
RNAcentral lists this ribosomal RNA (253 nucleotides) under uncultured bacterium. RNAcentral describes it as "partial 16S ribosomal RNA". It matches the Rfam family "Bacterial small subunit ribosomal RNA", at positions 524 to 776 of the family's 1533-position model. The record is from RNAcentral.